UAGUGACCCAGAUUGCGGAGAUGGAACGGGACGGCUCGGAAGAAAAGUUUCCAGUUUUUCAUCUGAGAGGAAGAGGAAUCAAAAGCAGGAGCCAGGAUCAGGGCAGGUAGGGGACCUGGACGUGCAUCCACACCCACCAAGGAUGCACUAAACUGGGAAACAUCUGCCGGAGUGUGCCCUUCAACGCUGCGAUGGCCUCAGCGACAUCCAGCCCGGGCCCUGCCUCUCUGGGCUCCCAGGUUCAUGCUGCAGCUGUCAACGGAGAUAGGAGCGCCCUCCUCAAACUCAUCACAG
Non-coding RNA from Paralichthys olivaceus (Japanese flounder), 294 nucleotides. The record is from RefSeq and is a predicted model, not a curated record. Lineage: Eukaryota; Metazoa; Chordata; Actinopteri; Pleuronectiformes; Paralichthyidae.